CAAUCGGCGUCCUCGUCGGACUGCACGAAUGAAUCAAGCGUCUGUUUACCCAACGCCGGUGCCCGUUUCACUGAUUAAUUCACAUGACGCCAAAAGCAAUGUUCUGCCCCGCUUGUCACGCCCCAGCCCCCGCUCCCACUUCCUCAUCGUUUCGGUCAUUUUUUUUUUUCUCAUCAUGCUUCAGCGGCAUCUCUUAAAACGUGAACCCAACGGAUAUCGAUAACUAUUAACCCUUGGAUGUCCCUGGAGAGACCGGCCUUCUUCAACCAACUUCUCCGCUGGCGCCGCGUGAACGACGUCGAAAAAUCCGAGGUCCGACGCCCUGAGAAGAAUGAAAAAGCAAACGUGCAAAUCCAGAAUUGUGUGUCGGUGGCGUGCCUCGCGAUGAAUGGAACCCUGGAUAAUCAAGGAGGCAAGCUGGGCACGUCGCGCAGCC
Molecule: long non-coding RNA, 436 nt
Organism: Scleropages formosus (Asian bonytongue)
Lineage: Eukaryota; Metazoa; Chordata; Actinopteri; Osteoglossiformes; Osteoglossidae
Exons: 3
Source: RefSeq, a predicted model, not a curated record